AUACUCACCUGGCAGGGGAGGUAGCGUGAUCAGGACGGUGUUUCCCAGGGGAGGUUGACCUGUUGCACUCAGGGUGUGCUGAGACCUGCAAUUUCCCCAAAUGUGGGAAACUCUACUGUGUAGUUUGUGGUCGUGGGGACUGCAUUCACGCUCUCCCUU
Molecule: small nuclear RNA, 159 nt
Organism: Erinaceus europaeus (western European hedgehog)
Lineage: Eukaryota; Metazoa; Chordata; Mammalia; Eulipotyphla; Erinaceidae
Gene: U1
Rfam family: U1 spliceosomal RNA
About the family: U1 is a small nuclear RNA (snRNA) component of the spliceosome (involved in pre-mRNA splicing). Its 5' end forms complementary base pairs with the 5' splice junction, thus defining the 5' donor site of an intron.
Source: Ensembl